This is a long non-coding RNA of Corvus hawaiiensis (hawaiian crow), 403 nucleotides long. RefSeq lists it as uncharacterized. The record is from RefSeq and is a predicted model, not a curated record. The transcript is spliced from 2 exons. Lineage: Eukaryota; Metazoa; Chordata; Aves; Passeriformes; Corvidae.
CCGGCAUUCACAUCAAACUGGGAAGCAGCCCUUCCCUGGAAUGAGUUAAUCAGUACCUCACGACAGAAAAAACUUCAUCCAUAGUUCCCCAUGUUCUGCCAGAGAACAGGUGCACAAGAAAUGCAAAACAGAAGAUAAAGAUGCUACAACCAUCAACUCAAUAAAAUUAGGCAAUGGCCUGCCUGCAUGAAGACAGAGAAGGAAUCCAAUAAGAUAUUAGAAGACACAGACCAAAAAUCACCAUUGGACUAAAAAAGUGCAUUAAGAGCAUAUGAAGGGCAGGUAUGCAAUCUUAAGCAUAUAAUUGCCUGGGGAUUUCUUUGUUCAUGGUCCCUCUCUGAAGGCAUUCAGCUCAAGCUGACCUGUUGCUGUACCAUUCUGUUAAAUUCUUUAUUUUUAUAAA